GGAUGCGAUCAUACAAGCACUAACGCACUGGAUCCCAUCAGAACUCCGAAGUUAGGCGUGUUUGGGCUAGAGUAGUACUUGGAUGGGUGACUCCCUGGGAAGUCCUCGUGUUGCAUCUC
Non-coding RNA from Nicotiana sylvestris (wood tobacco), 119 nucleotides. Lineage: Eukaryota; Viridiplantae; Streptophyta; Magnoliopsida; Solanales; Solanaceae. The record is from Rfam.